GCGGGCAUCGUAUAAUGGCUAUUACCUCAGCUUUCCAAGCUGAUGAUGCGGGUUCGAUUCCCGACGCCCGCUCCA
Molecule: transfer RNA, 75 nt
Filed under: Cronobacter sakazakii
Lineage: Bacteria; Pseudomonadati; Pseudomonadota; Gammaproteobacteria; Enterobacterales; Enterobacteriaceae
Also listed under: 2 other names
Description: tRNA-Gly
Rfam family: tRNA
About the family: Transfer RNA (tRNA) molecules are approximately 80 nucleotides in length.
Source: RNAcentral